Pelobates cultripes (western spadefoot toad) is the source of this 8215-nucleotide non-coding RNA. NCBI's taxonomy places the organism in Eukaryota, Metazoa, Chordata, Amphibia, Anura, Pelobatidae. The record is from the annotation of a GenBank genome assembly.
CGUGUCUUUAAUAAAAUCAUGACUUUACGUCAUGUUAAUAAUAAAAUCUGGGAAUUUUAUUAAAGACACGGAGGCUCCUAUUAUGCAAGUUUAAAGCUUAGAAACCACUUGAGAUGCAAAAUGGUCAAUCGGCCUGAAGUAGAAAUCACGAAAGGUCGAUUCCCGUGACCAAUCCGCCGCACGUAGAAUAUCUUCUAGGCGGCAGCCCAUAGCCGCCGCCUUGGAGGCCAUAGCUCCGCGGACUGAAUGAGGGGUGAAUCUAGACGUAUCGAUCCUGGCCAGAGAUAACAAUUCCCGAACCCAUCUCGCCAACGUAGGUGUAGACACCGGAAGGUGUGGGGCUCGAAGCGAGAUGAACAAGGGGCAUAGCUCCGGGGAUCGCAACGGUCGAGUAACCUCGAGGUAGGCCUGAAGGCAUUCGACUGGACAGAUAGCCGGGUUUCCCUGGAAUCUAGGGUAAACAAACACCUUCAAAGCCGACUUCGUUCUCCUGGAUAUGUUAAAGGAGAUGCCCUCCGGAGUGAACGCAAUGGCAUUCCAGUCCAGUGCCCGAACAUCCGACACCCUCUUGCAAGAGAUAAGGCAUAGCAACAUGACCACCUUCACUGACAGCUGUUUCAGUGUGAGAUCCUGAUUUGGAUACCAAGCCGACAAGAAUUGAAGGACCACAUUCACGUCCCAGAAGGCAGUGAAUCUCGCACGGGGCGGUCUGAUGAGACGGAUCCCCUUGAGCAGUCGGCAUACAAAGGGGUGACGUCCUACGGGCGAACCAUCCAAGCCUUGGUGUCCGGCUGAUAUAGCGGAUCGGCAUAGAUUAAUAGUGCGGUACGCCUUCCCAGAUUCAAACAUCUCAGUAAGGAAUUCCAUGAUCACAUGUAAAGGGGCAGAUAUGGGAUCCACUGACCGUUCCACGCACCAACUAGACCAUAUUCUCCAGGCGGAUCGGUACGCCACUCGAGUACCUGGUGCCCAUGCGUUGUCAAGGAGGUCGAGAGUUGAUUGCGGAACCCCUGUGAUAGACCAGGGUCCCCUGAAAGAGGCCAUGCGAUCAGGUGUAGGAGGCCGCGCUCCACCAACUCGUGCGAGUUGCCAUCCGGAUCCCUCAGGAGAUUCGGGAAGGUCGGUAUCAGGCGUGGGUAAUCCGCUGUCAGUUCCAGCAGCCGAGGGAACCAAGGCCGAGACCGCCAUAGUGGUUGAUCAGUACCAACGAGCCGCCGUGUUGCGUCAGUUUCGACAGCGUGCGAGUGUGGCAGAAGCAGCCACAAGAGACUGUACCUGCAUUAUUAUUGCGUUGUAUUUGUCCUAAUAAUCGCUGAAUACCUGGUAUGCGAACCGCUGGAAAGUGCCGAAUGCACGACCACCCUGCUGUGGUCGUGUGCUUCCCCUGUAUAGAGGGAAACAAUGUUGCCAGAGAGGUAAUUGGGUUCGUGGGUGGCCGCCGUUCGCACAAAACCCACGUGGCGGCGGCCAUCUUAACUGCCGAACAGCGGUGUCUGGUCGUCGAGCGCCUGGAACUAAAACCGGGCGCUCGACUACCCAGACACCGCUCAGACCUCCAGGACCACGGAACUGCCCAAUUCAAACUGCCGAACGGCCCGCCGUUCGGUAGGAUGAAUCCCCCAGACUAGGGGAUUCAUCCGAACCUAAGAUUAGAGCCGGAUGGCUGAACAUUCGGUACUUUCAGUUCAGUGUAAUAGACCGACCGCAGGGCCAGAAUCCAUGGAGCUGUUUUCGGCUACCAAAUCCCUGCGGUCGGUCAAAUCUUUGAAUGUCUGUAACUCCCGAACCCCUGGUCUGAUCUGGGUGAAAUUUGAGUAUGUUGCUCACCCAGACCAGACCAACCAGGGGACCCCUCAUUUGUCACCGUACCCCCUGUAUUUAGGGGACAUCCAGAAAUGGGGGAAAACUCUGUUCCCACUAAUGAGCUUAACUGUUAAUCUAAGGGGAGGAGAGGGAGAGGAGGUAACCACGAUGUGAUUGGAUAUGUUAAGUUACCUCCCUUGCAUGGGAAAAAGUCAUAAAAGCAAAUGUGUGAAUAAACCUGGCAGUUGACCUCCAAGCUAUGUGUCGUCUAGUUCUUGGAGGGAAGGGAUUGUAACUACGCUACCUGUUUUGUACCUGUCUUGGAUUGCUGUUCCUGUCUACCAGUGGAGCUACCUUGGAUAAUACCUCUACUCCGCUACAAUUGGUGGCAAGCGACGGGAUCGUACUACACAGCAAAAAGGAGUCAGCAGGAAUUAAAAAGGACUGAAUGGAAACGGAUUAUACCCUCUUAAAACGGGACACGCUAAGAGAGCUACUAGAAGCGAGAGGGAGGAUAGCAAGCAACAAAACAAAGGCUAUCCUAAUCGCAGAACUCAUGGAAGGAGACAGAGUCGCAGCUGCUGCAGCACCUCCAAGGGAGGAGGAAUCUGAGUUUGCCAGGGAAUAUAGGUGCAGGAUGGCUCUAUUCCCACCAGACAUAGCAGCGCAGAAGGCAGACCAGAUUUACAAUGAUGUACAGGCAUACAUCAUGCUGCGAACGACACCGAGGAACCAACAAGAGGGGGAAGGAAUCGCAACGGCUGUCCCCACCCCGCCAGCAAAAGCUAAAAUACCGUAUCAGGCAUUUAAAGCAUUUAAUGAUACCGAGGGGGACAUUGAUGGCUAUUUACAGGACUUUGAACGGUUGUGCCAGCUACAUGCCAUUAGCACCGAAGACCAAGUGCCCCUGCUAGCGGGUAACCUGUCAGGCCGCGCCGCAGAUGCCUACCGAGCCAUGCCGGCAGAGGACAUCCGGGACUAUCAGAAGGUAAAACAAACCUUGCUCGCACGAUAUGCCAUUACACCUGAGGCAUACCGAAUACAGUUCCGGAAACUACUCAAACCGGGAAAAGACUCGCAUGCAGAAUUCGCACACCGACUACAACGGGCAGCCACCGGGUGGAUAGAGGCAGCAAAAGCCAUCACGUCCCAAGAGAUCACGCAGUUGAUGGUGCUGGAACAAUUCUACCAAUGUUUGUCAGAAGAUCUACAGAUCUGGGUAAGAGAUCGUAAACCCCGCACGCUGCAAGAGGCCGCUAAGUUAGCAGAUGAGCAUCAGGACACCCGGCGGGAACAGCACUCAUCUACUAGAGUGCAAUCCACGCCAAACGUUCCCCGACUUACCCCAGUAGAUUCACCCCGACCAGGGGGGACCUACCAGUCACAACCCCCCCGGUACAACAACAGGGCAUCUAUCCGGUGCCAUACCUGUAACCAGCUUGGGCAUAUGCAACGAGACUGUCCCCGAAACCGGGCCAGGCCGGCCUGGACCCCUCCACGACCACCAACCACCCCUGGAGCCGCAGUCCACUGCUAUCAGGCCAGAGCAUUGGCUCAACCUUUCACCCCUACCCAAAUAGAGGAACCCUUGGGCACCCUCCAUGAGGUAAACCCGGUACAGGCGGCAUCCGACAAGUGGUCCACGUGGAGGGAAAGCGGAUGGAGGGAUUACGAGAUUCUGGGGCCACCAUCACUCUGAUACGGAAUCAUUUAGUGGCCCCGAACCAUCUCACUGGAGACUGUAUUGCGGUUAGGGUGGCAGGGGGAGCCAUUUACAAAGUACCCACUGCGAAACUACAUUUGGACUGGGGAGCGGGGGCAGGGCAAAUUGAAGUGGGGAUGAUGCAGGACCUACCUGCGGAUGUGAUUUUGGGGAACGACUUGGGGGAGCUAACCUCCGCUUUUGUUACCCGACCUCCUCCACAGGAGGCAUACCCGGUCGUCACCCGUCAACAGGCUCGCACCACGGCACCACACAUCGACUCUGAGGCUCCGGUAAGCCCGAACCCCCCUGAUCACACUGUGUUACCCUGGGCCGGUAUCAGGCGUGGGUAAUCCGCUGUCAGUUCCAGCAGCCGAGGGAACCAAGGCCGAGACCGCCAUAGUGGUGUGAUCAGUACCAACGAGCCGCCGUGUUGCGUCAGUUUCGACAGCGUGCGAGUGUGGCAGAAGCAGCCACAAGAGACUGUACCUGCAUUAUUAUUGCGUUGUAUUUGUCCUAAUAAUCGCUGAAUACCUGGUAUGCGAACCGCUGGAAAGUGCCGAAUGCACGACCACCCUGCUGUGGUCGUGUGCUUCCCCUGUAUAGAGGGAAACAAUGUUGCCAGAGAGGUAAUUGGGUUCGUGGGUGGCCGCCGUUCGCACAAAACCCACGUGGCGGCGGCCAUCUUAACUGCCGAACAGCGGUGUCUGGUCGUCGAGCGCCUGGAACUAAAACCGGGCGCUCGACUACCCAGACACCGCUCAGACCUCCAGGACCACGGAACUGCCCGAUUCAAACUGCCGAACGGCCCGCCGUUCGGUAGGAUGAAUCCCCCAGACUAGGGGAUUCAUCCGAACCUAAGAUUAGAGCCGGAUGGCUGAACAUUCGGUACUUUCAGUUCAGUGUAAUAGACCGACCGCAGGGCCAGAAUCCAUGGAGCUGUUUUCGGCUACCAAAUCCCUGCGGUCGGUCAAAUCUUUGAAUGUCUGUAACUCCCAAACCCCUGGUCUGAUCUGGGUGAAAUUUGAGUAUGUUGCUCACCCAGACCAGACCAACCAGGGGACCCCUCAUUUGUCACCGUACCCCCUGUAUUUAGGGGACAUCCAGAAAUGGGGGAAAACUCUGUUCCCACUAAUGAGCUUAACUGGUAAUCUAAGGGGAGGAGAGGGAGAGGAGGUAACCACGAUGUGAUUGGAUAUGUUAAGUUACCUCCCUUGCAUGGGAAAAGGACAUAAAAGCAAAUGUGUGAAUAAACCUGGCAGUUGACCUCCAAGCUAUGUGUCGUCUAGUUCUUGGAGGGAAGGGAUUGUAACUACGCUACCUGUUUUGUACCUGUCUUGGAUUGCUGUUCCUGUCUACCAGUGGAGCUACCUUGGAUAAUACCUCUACUCCGCUACAGCGAGCUAUCAUAUUGAACGGGGGAAAAGCGUAGAGCCGAGUCUGCGGCCAGUCUUGAAGGAACGCAUCCGUUGCUACUGCCGCCGGAUCCGGUCUCCAACUGAAGAACUUGGGUACUUGCAAGUUGAGACGGGACGCGAAAAGGUCCACGUCGAAUGGGCCCCAAAUGUGGUCCAGACCCUGGAAGGCCGUAGCAUGCAAGCGCCAAUCUCCAGAAUCUCUCAAAUAGCGUGAGUUACAAUCGGCCGUUGAGUUGUCCAGACCCGGAAUAUGUUCCGCCUGCACGGAAAUGUUGUUGCGAAGGCAGAAUUGCCAGAAGUCCUUCGCCAUGAGAGCUAACAUGCGCGAUUUCGUGCCUCCCAGGUGAUUGAUGUAUCGGACCGCUGAUACAUUGUCCAUCUUGAGCAUCACGCAACAAUUCGCCCGUUCCGGCGUGAGGCUGCGAAUAGCGAAUGCACCUGCCAAUAGUUCCAGGCAGUUGAUAUGGAGUGUUCGUUCCUGAUUCGACCAUCUGCCUCCGGUAGAUGCGGCACCACAACGCGCGCCCCAGCCGUGUAAGCUGGCAUCUGACUCUAUCACGAUGUCCGGGACAGAACCGAAUAUGGCUCUCCCGUUCCAGGCGUCCAUGUGGGCCAGCCACCAGGUCAGCUCGUCUCUGGACUCGUCGUCGAGUCUCACUCUCUGUUCGUAAGAGUGGCCGGCACGUAGGUGAGAGCCUUUUAAGCGUUGAAGGGCCCGGUAAUGGAGAGGGCCAGGGAAAAUUGCUUGUAUUGAGGCGGCCAGGAGGCCGAUCACCCUCGCCAGAUGUCGGAUAGAGAUGUCGUCUGCACGUAGUGUACGUCUGAUUUCCUUCUUGAUCGCCUUUGUCUUGGAUUCCGGAAGGAACAGGAAUUGUUGGACGGAGUCCACUGUAAACCCCAGAAAUUCCAGCGUUUGGGUGGGGUCUAAUACCGACUUCUCCCAAUUGAUGAGAAAGCCUAGGUUCUGGAGUAAGGACGUAGUCCAUGAUACAUGAAUCGUCAGUAAUUCUCUUGACUGGGCCAUCAGCAAGAUGUCGUCCAAAUAGAUGAUCAGACGUACACCGCGACUCCGAAGGAAGGAUACCACAGGUUUCAUGACCUUGGUGAAGCACCAGGGGGCCGAGGAGAGACCGAAUGGCAGACAGGUAAACUUCCAGCGCUUUCCCUUCCAGGUGAAAUGGAGGAAAUCUCUGUGGGCCGAGGUUAUAGGCACCGUAAAAUAGGCGUCCUUGAGGUCUAGUUUGGCCAACCAGUCGGACUCCUGAAGGAGGUCUCGAAGGCAAUGGAUGCCCUCCAUCUGGAAAUGGCGAUACUGGAGAAAAGCAUUGAGGGGGCGGAGGUUGAUGACCGGACGCACACCCCCACCUUUCUUCGGGACUAGAAACAGGUUGCUUGUAAAGCCCUGUUGAGUAAACGGGACCUCUUGUAUUGCACCUUUGGUGCGUAGUUCCAUGAUCUCCGAAGAGAUCAAUUCUUCCUGCUCUCGAGCUAGCGAGAGUUCCCUGGGGACAAAAGUUUGAACAGGAAAAGACACAAAAUCUAUGUGGUAACCCUUCACUGUUUGAAGAACCCAAGCAUCUGCCGUCAGGGCCACCCAUGCCUCGUAAAACUGGGCCAAUCUGCCCGCCACCCGCUCUCGUGUAUGAUGGACAAAAGGGGUACUCACCAUAAGGGCGUCUGCCUGAUGAGGCACCUCUCGGGUAGCGGGGAUUCCAGGACCUCCCUCUGGAUGGGAAGAACGGAGCCGGUCUGGGCUCUUGGAAGUUUCUGGUAGGGAAAAAGGAGCCUCGCUGAGCUCGAUACGAACCCCGGAAUCCGCGGCCGGGUGGACGGCUCCUGUUGCGCCCGGCCCCUCCAAAAACUCUAGGGGAAAACACCCUCUUCAUAUUAGCCUGGGCCUUUCAAUGGCUGUGAAGGUUUUAACGUAAGACCCCAGGUCUCUUACGAAAUUAUCUCCAAAGAGCAUCCCCUCAGCCGAGGGACCAGGUUCGGAGACGGCCAUGGUAGCCAAUUUAGGAUCAAUCUUAAGCAGGAUUGCCUUCCUGCGCUCAGCGGAGACGGCCAUAUUAGCAUUGCCUAGUAGGCAAAUGGCACGUUGCACCCAACCGAUCGCUACAUCAAUAUCAAGCUCCGCGUCACCCGCCUUGGCGGCUUCCAAAACUUCAUAGGCCUUAGACAGAGGGCCAAUGGUGUCCAUAAUCUUGUCUUGACAAUGUCUCAGGGAAAAAUCAAGGCCCUUCUUUUGCUUCCAGCCUGAUUUGUUGAGGAACUGGGCAAUCUGAGGAUCGACCUCUGGCGUCUUACACGCCGAUCCUGGGACCGAAGGUCUAGGACAUUCAGCCCGUAGCUUACUGCGACUCUCCCUAAAGAGUGGCGUACGCAUCCUAAGCGCGAUAUAUUGGGCGAUAUGCUCAGGGGGUUCCCACUCAGCGGAACGAGGAUGGCGCAAGUCAUCCGGAUCAAACAGGGGGUUACCCUGCGGAUCCAGAAUCCCCACGUCGCCACUCGCCCUCUGGGCAGUAACACCCCCGGCAGGGAAAGCGCCCCCAGUACGGGGUGCUACGGCAGGGGGAGCUCCCUCCUCCGAGCCGGCUUCUUCAUCAGAAGCAUAGUUUAGUUCCUCAUACUCCUCCUCCUCACUCCGGUCGCUCUCUGACCUUUCAUCACGGGAUCUAGCCCGUUUCCAUAACCUGGCCGUUUUUGCCCGACCAGAGGCUCUUUUGCGCGGUGGGAGCGCGCCAUCUGUGACUGCCUCAGGCGAGUCCGUCAAGGCAGGUAAAACCUGCGUUAUGGAGUGGGAAGAGAGAUGUUUGGCCUUCACCUUGGCCUUACGGGCACCAGGUGGGGUAACAGGAGUAGGGUCCGUACCCAGUAGGGUAGGAUUAGCCACCUGGGGCAGCAAAAGAGACUGUGCUAGAGUCUGGGAAAAGGAGGAGGACAUAGCCCCCAUAGCAGAGGCGAGCGCUCUCUGGAGAGAGGACGCCAUAGUGGAGUCCAUCAGAGCCUGGAACUCCUCAGAAAUAACCUGACCCUCAGGUAAUUCCUGAUGGAAGUCAGUAACGCGGCCCUCAGGGCCAUCACCCUUAUCCUGCAUGACUACAGGAAAGGGUUAAACAGUAGGAGUAAAAAUACGACAAUCAGAUCUGAAAUCAAAACGAAAAAUGGCAGAUAAGUAUAUAGGAAAAUAAUGGCAGAAUUAGGGUUUAAUAACCCAAAGGGACAGGAACAGAACAGGGUUAAAGAUAGCCACAAGAAAAGACAGAACAGAAACAUAAGCACAUGGAAAUCAAAA